Carassius carassius (crucian carp) is the source of this 1175-nucleotide RNA transcript. It is a transcript of the gene named glutathione S-transferase C-terminal domain-containing protein-like, with no coding region annotated. The record is from RefSeq and is a predicted model, not a curated record. The transcript has 6 exons. Lineage: Eukaryota; Metazoa; Chordata; Actinopteri; Cypriniformes; Cyprinidae.
ACCCUUUCCCAUCUCCCCAUGCUGCUGAGAUGGUACCAGCGUGUACAGGAGCUACCCAGUGUACUGAGGACUGCAAAGGAUUGUGGGAUGGCCCUCCUCAGUCUCAGCACGGUUGACCCUUGCCCUCCCCAGCCGGAGGCCCUACGACCCAGUGGAGCAAAGCAGGAAGGGCCAAAACUCAAGCAAGAGCCUUUGGUCGGUGGCCUGCGGCCAACUCUCUCCAAACUGCAAGAGGAACCGCUGAUUCAGUCCAUAACCUCCUGUGCAGUCUUCCUCCUGCUUAUUCAAUUUCCCACCACUUCCAUAGCAGACCUGCUGAUUUACCCAGCAUCUCACCGGCCCACAAACUCAGGCAACACUUCAUCGGUGCAGAAAUCUGCAGAUAAUGAGUAGAGAGCCCACAGUGGUCUCAUACACUUUCGCUGUACAACUCCCACAGGAGUGGCAAACAGAGUAACAACGCUAGGUCUCUUUUCUGUCUGUCCCGGACCACAAUCCUGCAGUCGGGUCCCCAGCAGGAGAAUGGGAUAGAUGCUGUUUCUGUUGCUCACCCUUGCCCUUCAUGGACAGUUGAUUGGGAGAGCCUACCGCCAGCUGUCAACCCCACUCAUUUGAAAUUGUAAUCCACUAAGCCUGACAGUGCCUACAAAGGAACUGGCUUUGAUAUGAUUUCAACAAUCGAUGUAGUGACAGAUUUAAUGCCUAGGAUUGAUGGGCAUAGAAUAAGUAAUGUAAAAACAAUUUUGGAGCAUUUUUGUCUCCUACAUAUUUGCAUUGCUUUGACUUUUUGAAAGUAAAUUAUUGCCAUACUUGUAGAAAUGUGUUUCUGAGCAGAGAAUAUUCAUGCCUAUCCUGUGUCAUGUGCUGGGGUCUUAACUAGCUUGAAUAGCAGGCAGCUGUUUUUUUUCACCAGGAAUAAGUGAGAUGCCAAUCACCUCACACAGACCAUCGAGUGAGCUCCGUGGAGAAACAGAAAUCCAGUUCGUUUAAAGAGUCUGGGAACAAUCCUCAUCAACCCACGCCCCUGAGAGCAUAACUUACUUGAGUCAAAAGACUACAUACAAUUCUGGUUGGUAAGAUUUCAGACGCCUUUGCCUUUUGCAUACAACAGCAUCUCUACAACCUGGUUGCCACGGUGAUGGAGUUGGCCCGCCCUGGGGCGGGGGGGUGGCUGG